AGAGUUUGAUCCUGGCUCAGAUUGAACGCUGGCGGCAGGCCUAACACAUGCAUGUCGAGCGGAUGAAGAGAGCUUGCUCUCUGAUUCAGCGGCGGACGGGUGAGCAAUGCCUAGGAAUCUGCCUGGUAGUGGGGGACAACGUUUCGAAAGGAACGCUAAUACCGCAUACGUCCUGCGGGAGAAAGCAGGGGACCUUCGGGCCUUGCGCUAUCAGAUGAGCCUAGGUCGGAUUAGCUAGUUGGUGGGGUAAUUGCUCACCAAGGCGACGAUCCGUAACUGGUCUGAGAGGAUGAUCAGUCACACUGGAACUGAGACACGGUCCAGACUCCUACGGGAGGCAGCAGUGGGGAAUAUUGGACAAUGGGCGAAGGCCUGAUCCAGCCAUGCCGCGUGUGUGAAGAAGGCCUUCGGGUUGUAAAGCACUUUCAGCGAGGAAGAACGCCUUGGGAUUAAUACUCCCGAGGAAAGACAACACUCGCAGAAGAAGCACCGGCUAACUCCGUGCCAGCAGCCGCGGUAAUACGGAGGGUGCAAGCGUUAAUCGGAAUUACUGAGCGUAAAGCGCGCGUAGGUGGCUAAGUCAGCCAGGUGUGAAAGCCCCGGGCUCAACCUGGGAACUGCAUUCAAAACUGACAAGCUAGAGUAUGGUAGAGGGUGGUGGAAUUUCCUGUGUAGCGGUGAAAUGCGUAGAGAUCGGGAGGAAUACCAGUGGCGAAGGCGGCCUUCUGGACUGACACUGACACUGAGGUGCGAAAGCGUGGGUAGCAAACAGGAUUAGAUACCCCGGUAGUCC
This 793-nucleotide ribosomal RNA is filed under the name uncultured bacterium. Its description in RNAcentral is "bacterial SSU rRNA". It matches the Rfam family "Bacterial small subunit ribosomal RNA", at positions 8 to 796 of the family's 1533-position model. The record is from RNAcentral.